GUGUGCGGUACCUUUCACAAGAAGGUGUCAUUCAUGUGGACUUAAAUAUGAAUGGGGCCUUUUUGAGAAGAGUAAUGUACAC
Ailuropoda melanoleuca (giant panda) is the source of this 82-nucleotide non-coding RNA. Lineage: Eukaryota; Metazoa; Chordata; Mammalia; Carnivora; Ursidae. The record is from Rfam.